RNAcentral lists this ribosomal RNA (135 nucleotides) under Clostridioides difficile. RNAcentral's name for it is "partial 23S ribosomal RNA". It matches the Rfam family "Bacterial large subunit ribosomal RNA", at positions 2795 to 2925 of the family's 2925-position model. Lineage: Bacteria; Bacillati; Bacillota; Clostridia; Peptostreptococcales; Peptostreptococcaceae. The record is from RNAcentral.
AACUUCAAGAUAAGAUUUCCCACCGCAAGGGUAAGACCCCAGAAAGACUAUCUGGUUGAUAGGUCGAAGGUGUAAGUGCAGCAAUGUAUUUAGCUUAUCGAUACUAAUAGGUCGAGGACUUGACCAAGAUUUAUU